This 929-nucleotide long non-coding RNA is filed under the name Cyanistes caeruleus (blue tit). RNAcentral describes it as "lncRNA (ENSCCEG00000021578.1)". The record is from RNAcentral. Lineage: Eukaryota; Metazoa; Chordata; Aves; Passeriformes; Paridae.
CUUAAAACCUGAAAAAUAAGGCAGAAAGAUUGGCUCUGAGAGCUUUGACCCAUGAGUUGGUUUUCUCAUAAUUCUAAAAGCUGAGCAUUAUAAAAAAAAAAAAAAAAAGAAAAAAGAAACCAGCCCAGCCUUUGCCAUCCGUGAUGAAUUCCCCGUGUUCCAGCAGAUCUGCACAGUGGUAGGCUGGUUCCUGCUGGAGCUGGGUGUUUGCCAUGCUUUCCUAGAGAAGCUCUCUGCCACUCUCCCUGCAACAUUAAUUCCGAACAACAGAGAUGGAAUGAAAUGUAGAUUUGAAAGCAAGCCACGAGAUGCAUUUCUAAGCUUUGGUCUUGUUGAUGUACUGCGGCCUCACUCUGUAUAAUCCACACGAGUUCCACAUGCUGGAAUGGAGCUGGGAGAUCUGUGAGCUCAGAGCUUCAGUUCUCUCUCCAUCAUAUCUUGAUGAAACACUGCUCAGGAGAGGCUGCCACAAGCUGGGUACAGGAAUCCUCAUCCACAUGGGCUGGCAUCGGCACAGGGAGCAGCAGGAGAGAGCAGGAGAUGCUGAAAGAGGUGAUCAAAGAUCCCUGUGAAUAUCCUGACAGUCAGUUCUACGCCUUAGGAUUUUUGCAGUAAACAGGGAAAAGCCACUUCAGAAAAGCUGGCAAAGGCGAGUUUAAAACAUGGGAUGAAGAUUGGUGUUUUCCCUUCAUUACAAACCAACCAAUUUGGAACCUGAGAUUUUCUUGCUUGUGAAUGCUUCUUGUGUCUUCCCAAAGUGGGACAUACCCACAAGCAAUUUUAUAAAUUGAAGACAAACAUUUCAGUCACGAAGCCAGUUUAACUUCACAGGCAAAACAAGAACAGCAUUAACCCAGCAUUCUUGAAGUAACAUUUGAGUUUUUCUGUUAAAAAAUAAAUUACUGACUGCAGGAGGAAGAAAGGAAUCA